AACGAACGCUGGCGGCAUGCCUAACACAUGCAAGUCGAACGAGACCUUCGGGUCUAGUGGCGCACGGGUGCGUAACGCGUGGGAACCUGCCUUUAGGUUCGGAAUAACUCAGAGAAAUUUGAGCUAAUACCGGAUGAUGUCUUCGGACCAAAGAUUUAUCGCCUUUAGAUGGGCCCGCGUUGGAUUAGCUAGUUGGUGGGGUAAAGGCCUACCAAGGCGACGAUCCAUAGCUGGUCUGAGAGGAUGAUCAGCCACACUGGGACUGAGACACGGCCCAGACUCCUACGGGAGGCAGCAGUGGGGAAUAUUGGACAAUGGGCGAAAGCCUGAUCCAGCAAUGCCGCGUGAGUGAUGAAGGCAUUAGGGUUGUAAAGCUCUUUUAACCGAGAUGAUAAUGACAGUAUCGGGAGAAUAAGCUCCGGCUAACUACGUG
Molecule: ribosomal RNA, 433 nt
Filed under: uncultured bacterium
Lineage: Bacteria
Description: partial 16S ribosomal RNA
Rfam family: Bacterial small subunit ribosomal RNA
Source: RNAcentral